ACGUAGGGUGCGAGCGUUGUCCGGAAUUAUUGGGCGUAAAGAGCUUGUAGGCGGUUUGUCGCGUCUGCCGUGAAAAUCCGGGGCUCAACUCCGGACUUGCGGUGGGUACGGGCAGACUAGAGUGUGGUAGGGGAGACUGGAAUUCCUGGUGUAGCGGUGAAAUGCGCAGAUAUCAGGAGGAACACCGAUGGCGAAGGCAGGUCUCUGGGCCACUACUGACGCUGAGAAGCGAAAGCGUGGGGAGCGAACAGGAUUAGAUACCCUGGUAGUCCACGCCGUAAACGUUGGGAACUAGGUGUGGGUCUCAUUCCACGAGAUCCGUGCCGCAGCUAACGCAUUAAGUUCCCCGCCUGGGGAGUACGGCCGCAAGGCUA
Molecule: ribosomal RNA, 374 nt
Filed under: uncultured bacterium
Lineage: Bacteria
Description: bacterial SSU rRNA
Rfam family: Bacterial small subunit ribosomal RNA
Source: RNAcentral